Molecule: non-coding RNA, 29 nt
Filed under: Mus musculus (house mouse)
Lineage: Eukaryota; Metazoa; Chordata; Mammalia; Rodentia; Muridae
Source: RNAcentral
UCCGAGAGGACAUAUUGAGUGGUGGAGAC